Molecule: ribosomal RNA, 440 nt
Filed under: uncultured bacterium
Lineage: Bacteria
Description: partial 16S ribosomal RNA
Rfam family: Bacterial small subunit ribosomal RNA
Source: RNAcentral
CCUACGGGGGACAGCAGUGGGGAAUAUUGCACAAUGGGGGAAACCCUGAUGCAGCGACGCCGCGUGAGUGAAGAAGUAUUUCGGUACGUAAAGCUCUAUCAGCAGGGAAGAAAAUGACGGUACCUGACUAAGAAGCCCCGGCUAACUACGUGCCAGCAGCCGCGGUAAUACGUAGGGGGCAAGCGUUAUCCGGAUUUACUGGGUGUAAAGGGAGCGUAGACGGCAGCGCAAGUCUGGAGUGAAAUCCCAUGGCUUAACCAUGGAACUGCUUUGGAAACGGUGCAGCUAGAGUGCAGGAGAGGUAAGCGGAAUUCCUAGUGUAGCGGUGAAAUGCGUAGAUAUUAGGAGGAACACCAGUGGCGAAGGCGGCUUACUGGACUGUAACUGACGUUGAGGCUCGAAAGCGUGGGGAGCAAACAGGAUUAGAUACCCUUGUAGUC